Molecule: unclassified non-coding RNA, 260 nt
Filed under: uncultured fungus
Lineage: Eukaryota; Fungi
Description: partial contains 18S rRNA, ITS1 and 5.8S rRNA
Source: RNAcentral
UGGUGAACCAGCGGAGGGAUCAUUACUGAGUCACGUGCUCAAACAACCCUUCUGUGGACCUAAAUCAAACCGUUGCCUCGGCGGGCGGUCCCCUGCCAAAACCCACGUGGUGCGGGGCAGGGGACCAGACAGUUCGGUACGCUUAAGGCGUCCGGCGCCAGCCGCUGGCCCUAAACAAUUAAACUCUAGUAACCUUACCUUCUGAGUUUUAAUACAAAAAAAUAAGUCAAAACUUUCAACAACGGAUCUCUUGGCUCUGG